RNAcentral lists this ribosomal RNA (468 nucleotides) under uncultured bacterium. RNAcentral describes it as "partial 16S ribosomal RNA". It matches the Rfam family "Bacterial small subunit ribosomal RNA", at positions 28 to 507 of the family's 1533-position model. The record is from RNAcentral.
GACGAACGCUGGCGGCGUGCUUAACACAUGCAAGUCGAACGGAAAGGCCCUGCUUUUGUGGGGUGCUCGAGUGGCGAACGGGUGAGUAACACGUGAGUAACCUGCCCUUGACUUUGGGAUAACUUCAGGAAACUGGGGCUAAGACCGGAUAGGAGAUCCUGCUGCAUGGUGGGCGUUGGAAAGUUUCGGCGUGUGGGGAUGGACUCGCGGCUUAUCAGCUUGUUGGUGGGGUAGGGGCUUACCAAGGCUUUGACGGGUAGCCGGCAUGGGAGGGUGACCGGCCACAUGGGGACUGCGAUACGGCCCAGACUCCUACGGUAGGCAGAAGUGGGGAAUAUUGCCCAAUGGGCGCGAGCCUGAUGCAGCGGCGCCGCGUGCGGGAUGACGGCCUUCGGGUUGUAAACCGCUUUCGCCUGUGACGACGCGUGAGUGACGGUAAUGGGUAAAGAAGCACCGGCUAACUACGUG